AACUACCAUGUUUUGCAUCAAGAAGGUGAAGUUUAUGAUGCUAUUCUGAAUCAGACAAAUGUUGGAGAAAACAAUAACAAAUUCUAUGUUAUUCAAGCUCUAGAAUCUGAUGAUGGUAGGACAUUCAUGGUUUACAAUAGAUGGGGUAGAGUUGGGGUGAGAGAUCAAGAUAAGUUACAUGGCCCCUACACAUCACGAGAAAGAGCGAAA
Elaeis guineensis (African oil palm) is the source of this 210-nucleotide non-coding RNA. The record is from RefSeq and is a predicted model, not a curated record. NCBI's taxonomy places the organism in Eukaryota, Viridiplantae, Streptophyta, Magnoliopsida, Arecales, Arecaceae.